This is a long non-coding RNA of Mus musculus (house mouse), 2903 nucleotides long. RefSeq annotates it as predicted gene, 52676. The record is from RefSeq and is a predicted model, not a curated record. The transcript is spliced from 2 exons. Lineage: Eukaryota; Metazoa; Chordata; Mammalia; Rodentia; Muridae.
CUGUAAGGAUCAUUUGGUGUUAGGAAUUAUUUGCCACUUCAAUGAAGCAGAGGGGAGAGAAAAGAAAAAAAAAGAGUCUGCCUUCCAGGCAAAGUCAUGGCAGAUCAAGAUCUGUUGACAAAUCUCCCAGCCUGCUGACAUGCAAAGAUAAGAGGAGUCAUACUUGAGGCUUUUGACCAUUGCUGUGUCCCAGGACUUGUCCUGGCCAGAUCCUGGAGUCUUGUUAGAUGAAACUAAAGCUCCUUAGAGAAGCUACUGUGGUAAGAACUUCUGUGUUCUGUAGUAAUUCUGAAUUUUGCUCUUCUUAAAUGUGGCUAGCGUGUGAGCCCUCAGUGAGUGACUCUUCAUGCAGACCCUUACAAAAUUACAUUAUACUGAGAGUUAGUAGCAUAGUCAGCCAUUCUUACUGCUUACAUACACUUGAGGAUGGGAAUGGCAAAUGAAUCCAGCCAGUUUCAUCUGCCCAAAGAACUUUCUUUAUUGUAAGAGGCUUUCUUUCUAGAUGGAAUAUUUUACCUCUAGAAAGCCCUGUAUUGUAAUCAGACAUUUCUCUCCAAAAUGGGCAGUUUCAAUCUCAGAGGAAAUUGAUAUACAACAUAGAAAUCAUCACUUCUACAAUUUCUCUCAGAGAACAACCUAGAUUAGUUGUUUCUCUGUAGCUGACACCACAUUUUCCCAUGCCCUUCUACAGCCUGAGAUUUGAGUCCAUUGUCAUAAUGUGUCCUUUAAAAAGAAAUCAUGCUCCACAUGACUAAGGCAAACCCACUCUUAGAAGUAAACCCAGCGUUCUUCAGAAACUACAUGCUUACCACUCAGCAGACUGCCCUGUAUACUAAUACUAAACUCUCAUAGCUUCAUUCAGCUCUUCACACUCUUCCACCCUCUCCCUUCUUCCUACCUUCAGAUGGUGCCCCCAAAGCCAGUGGGAAGGCAUGCAUGGGAAAUGCUGGAGGGUCUUGAGCAGCCACUGCCUUCGUAAGUAGAAUUGGACUGCCUUGAACAGCACCAGAAAUAGACUGAGCAAGAAGGCCCAUUGGAAGAACCCAGAGAUACCAUCCAAGUACCUUGUAGGGCUAAAUAAAAAAAAACCCAUGGUUAGUAGUUUCUGGAUCACUAGUGUCACUAAAUGUUUAGAAACCCGCAUUUAAGUCAUGAGAAGGUAGACACACCUACUUGUGGGAGGGGGAAUGGAGAAGACAGACAGAGACUGACCUCAGAAUCCAAAGUUUAUUAAUCUGCAACAUCAGCUUUGGUAAACAGUAAAAACAAAUCUCUAGUAUCUAGUCUUGGUAACAUCUAUAUGUAUACCAAUUCCCAUUUCUCUGAACUACUCACAACUAUUUAUUGAGCACAUAUUGCAUGUUAUGUAUAUCCUUGCUGAUGAGGUAAAGUCAUGGACUAGACAUUAACCUGGAUAUUAAGAAAUUCACAUUCUAAUUUACCAAACAUGUAAUAGGUGUAGCUGCUUGUACUAUUUUCCUAAUUUCAGGGUGAAAUGAUGACAACAGUAGUUGGUGUGUUCAGAUGAAUGUAAUUGCUGAAAGUUUCUACCUAUAGUCAUCUUUGCAUCUGGACUCCAAAUCCAGCUGUUUCUUCCAUUUUAUCUGAGACUUGUCACAGUCACACUCCAGAUUGAUCCAGGAUGGAUGUGCCAGCAGGUGGAACAGUGCAGUUGCAUUCAGGUGGCUCAAGACUCAAUCAGCCUCACCACAUACACAGCCUGUGACAGACUCUUUCUCUGUCUCACUAUCUUGACUGAAUGGAAUAAUAAAACCUUUCUUUUCUAAAUACUUAAAUUGCCCAUCACUUAUUCAGUCACUCAUUAAUUUAAGAAUAUUUCUUGACCUCACAUAGGGCAAACUCUAAUAAAGAAAUCAGUCCAAUUAUAUAUAUAUUAUGCCUUGCCUGAAAAAAAUUAAUGUACACACAGAAUAGAUAAAGCGAAAGUUAAAAAAAAUGAGAUAUUGAAGGAUUACUAGCCAAUCAAUUGAAAAGUGCUGAGAUAGUUUCCAACUACCUCAUUUAUUUAUAGAUUUUAUGGAGAUAUUAUUUAAGCAGAGAAAGAAUGUUUUGGUUGUCAGUCUAUCCAUUAACAUGAAGAUGGAUAGCUAGGAAGGCCCUGAGGAUCUAGGAGAAGUUGGAGGAAGGAAAGAAUAUGAUCAAAUUAUAUUGCAUGAAAAAAAUUAAAUAAAAAAUAAAUUUUAAAAAUGACAAAACUUUUAGAAAGGAAGAAAAACAAAGAAGUUAAGGGGUAGAAAUAAGCCUUUCUCUGGAAUCUUUAUCCUCACCUGGAUCAUGAUUAUCUUCCCUAAAUUAAUCCUAGUUGUGAAGACCACAAAGAGGCAAACACAAAAGGUAUUUUAACAAGAAUCUCUAGAAAGCCAGCCCAUUCACUCUGCCAGGAAUGUGUGUUUGCCGCUCACUUGAUCCUUUAUCUAUCCAAACAUUUUCUUUAACACCCACUACUUCAUCUUCCACUGUGACACAACAUGCAUAACCCACUACUUUUUCUUUCUUUCCACAAUUCUGAGCUUUGGUCAAAACCAAAGACCGAGAGGGACAUGCUCCAUACGUCUGAACUUUUAGCCCACUUUGUGGUCAUUUUACAACUUCAAAUAUUUGUUGGAUGAGUAAAUGAUUGAAAGAUCCAGUCCAUUUCUUGGGACAGGUCAUUUUGUACCCUUUCUCCUUCCCUACUUGGAUCCUCUCCCACUUUCAGAGUGGAAUUCAGUAGUGGAAAGAGCUUUGGCGUCCAAGACUACUGCUGAAUUUUAGUUUUGACUGUUUCCUUCUCUGAAUCUGAGUUCUUUUUGUUUGACCCAUAUUAUGGUAAGCAUGAACACAGAGUAGGUAGGUACUUGACCUGCUUUCUCCCAUAACUCUCCAAAACAAUGUUGUUUUUU